RNAcentral lists this long non-coding RNA (222 nucleotides) under Capsicum annuum. RNAcentral's name for it is "long non-coding RNA (CANN_LNC016091)". Lineage: Eukaryota; Viridiplantae; Streptophyta; Magnoliopsida; Solanales; Solanaceae. The record is from RNAcentral.
UGAAAUUAGAGUUGAUUCAUGAUAUUUAGUUGUUGUGUGAUGUUGUCUACAUAUACCAUGCUCACCAUGUGUUUGAUUAAAUGCCCAUGUGAAGGAAAAAUGCCCUACUAGCAUGAUAAUAUGAAAUACCCAUUUAUGUACAAGUUCAAGCAUGUCAAGUGUUUGAUGAAAUGUCUUAUUAAAUAAAUUAUGGAUGUAUGUGUGGCCAUUGUGGUGCUUUAG